Molecule: long non-coding RNA, 8029 nt
Filed under: Capsicum annuum
Lineage: Eukaryota; Viridiplantae; Streptophyta; Magnoliopsida; Solanales; Solanaceae
Description: long non-coding RNA (CANN_LNC018312)
Source: RNAcentral
ACACUUCUUCUCUUUUCUUCUUCAUCUUUCCCUCUUAAUCUGUUACAAACAAAUUAAAUUAGUCUUGUCGAACUAUAUAUAAACAAAUUGGAAAUGAAAAUACCUACAAUUAUUUUAUGAACUUUAAUAGUUUUAAUAUUGAAGUAGUUCAAGAAAUUUAAUUGUUGAUCAUUUGUCUAAAUUGUUAUAAUAACAAUACAAGCAGUAUUUUGUUUCUUUUAAAUCCCCUGCCUUCCUUUGUGUUCGACUAUUAUGCCAAUGACACUUUGAAAUAAGGGUCAUAUUUUGUACCUGUUAGUUUUUAAUUUCCCACCAUCCUUUGUGUACGACUAUUCUCUCCAAACCAUUAUAGUUAUUCGUAAUAAUAUGAUAAGAUUUUCAUGCUAGAUACUUUUUCUUGGAGGAAAGGAACUUUAAUGAAGUUAAUUGAUAGCAGGUUAUUACUAAAUCUUUUAAGUUUACUACUUGUCAAGAAAAGCGGAGUAUUUGUUGUUGUAGGUCAAUAUAACCUUAUGGUGUAAAAAUAUAUGCUCACACAGUUAGUUCACAUAACUUAAGUUUGAAGGGGAGCUUGGUGUAACAAGUUAAGCAGUUGUCAUUUGACCAGGAGGUCACGAGUUCGAGAAACAUCCUCUAAUGCUGCGUACAAUAGACCCAUAUGGUCCAGCCCUUUUCCAGAUCCCCAUAGCGGGAGAUUAGCAUACGAGGUUGUCUUUUUACUAACUUUUUUAUAAUGUAAGCUCGAAAGAAAAUAAAGUAAACUGAAACACGGAUCUGUGCUUUUUAAAUUAGUACAAAAGCAUGCCAAGUCUCAACUAACAAAUUCUUUUCUAAUCUUACAUGGUAUUAAAUGAAAAUGAAAAAGAUAUUUUUUUAUAACUCAUUUCAUGAACUGAUGCUCCUGAAAUAAAUAAUAAGAAGAUAUCAUCAUAAAAUACACUCGGCAUAACACAUAAAUAUGACCCUAAACUUGACACCAAAUUAUAACAUUGACCUUACACUUUGAUAGUGCACAAAUAGGACCUUUAACUAUUCAAAACCUGAACAAAUAAACACCCCGAUCCUAUGUGGCAAAACGCGUGUUGCACACGCAAAACGGCCCGCGUUCGAGUUGGAAUUGAAGGGUUUUUUUGUUUAGUUUUUGUAUAGUUAAGGCCUAGUUGUGCACCGACAAAGUUAAAGGUCAUACUUAUAAUGUGUUUUUUUAUUAGGUGGCACCAUAUGAGUGGAUUAGUAAUCCACGUCAGAGCAAGUGAGGUACACGCGUGUAGUUGCAAAAUCGGAGUAUCUUUUUGUGCAGGUUUUGUAUAGUUGGCCUACUUAUGCACUAUCAAAGUUUAAGUGUACUAUCAAAGUUUAAGGUCAAUGUUAUAAUUCAUAUUUAUGUAUUAUGCCAAUACACUCGGUAUGUUGUUUACGCCGGCCUUCCCAGACCACUCGUAGGAUUACACUGGGCAUAUUGUUGUAGUACGUACACUCGGUUUGGCGAAACAAUUCGAUGUCAAAGAAAAUGUUGACGUUCUAAGUUUCUAGAACACCAUUUCUAGUUGGCAACAAAUAAUCGAAGCCAUCAACUUUCAGUAUAAAUGCUUAUAAACCAUGCACCCGUCAUAGUAAUAAAAAGGGUUAUUUUAAGUUAUAAGUUAUCAAGGUUCUUGAGAUCAACUAGUGAUCCAAAAAGAAAAUCAUUCAUCUAUUCGCAAAUAAAUUGAACAUUUUCACCAUGCAUAUGAUCAGUAGCGGAAGCAGGGAUCCUAAUAAGGGGAUUCAAAAAGGUACAAAAGUGUUACACUUACGUUUCAAUUUGAGCAUGUCACACAGCGCAUAUGGCAAUAGUUGGUAUAGAAUUUGGAAAAUGCCGUAGUAACGCACCUUAGCAAUUACCGGUAAUAAACUCUAUCAAUAUCAGUCUUGUUCUUUUACCAACCAGCUUGAGUCUGCGAUAUAGAAUAUAUAUAUAUAUAUCCUGACAAUGCUACAGAUCAUCAAACAAGUAAAACAGGGGAAGAGAUAUUAGUUAAUUUGGCUAAAUAAGUCAAAGUUGUUGUAAUUAUUUGUAAAUAUAGAACACCACAUAAUUAAAUAUAACAGAAUACGUAUACUAGUUUUUUUCUUGAAAUUAUCAAUCUUUUAAGUUUUGUAGGUGAUAUAGAGAUAUGCUUAUUGAAAACAAAAUGGCAAGAAAGUGGAAGUAAUAAAAAAUAGCACUUUCUUUCCUUUAACCAUUACAUGGCAUGUCUUUUUGUGUGCACAUUCAUAUUUUGUGCACUCCAUAGCAGGUAACAAACUACUUGCUAAAAAGAUAAAGUGGAAAUAUUCAAAGUGAUAUAGAGAUGGACUUUAAUUAACAAUAUGAGAACUCGUAGAUCCAGCUGUUAAGAGCUAUGAAUAUUCUUUCUACACUUAGAUUAUCAAUCAGAGCAAUUGAAUUGGUCAUUUAGACAGCUCUUUACUAACAACUAGUUUUCAAGGUGUGUUACUAUAAAUACAUAGGCCAAUGAAUCCUCUAAAGGCAUCACUUCUCAACUGAAAAACUAAACUUGUCUUCUUUCUUCUUUCUCUAACUAGCCCCAUUUGGAGACUAGGUGGUGUAGUUUUACUGAGAAAUGAGGCUUCGCGGUGGCGGCCCUGCCAAGGGUCGUCAAUAUUUACCUCAAAUCUUAGUGGCACUGGCCAUAUUGGCUGUUGCUAAUGUAGUGUCAGCAGACCCUUAUGUGUACUCUUCUCCACCACCUCCAACGUAUGAGUACAAGUCACCUCCACCUCCUUCUCCUUCUCCACCGCCACCUAAUGUGUACAAAUCUCCACCUCCUCCAUCACCUUCUCCCCCGCCUCCAUAUGUUUAUAAGUCACCACCUCCUCCUUCUCCAUCACCACCUGCACCAUAUGUGUAUAAGUCUCCACCACCUCCAUCGCCAUCCCCUCCACCACCAUAUGUGUAUAAGUCUCCACCACCUCCAUCGCCAUCUCCACCACCACCUUAUGUGUAUAAGUUUCCCCCACCUCCAUCACCAUCUCCACCUCCACCAUAUUACUACAAGUCUCCACCUCCACCUUCACCAUCACCUCCACCACCAUACUAUCACAAAUCUCCACCACCGCCUUCACCAUCACCACCCCCGCCAUACUAUUAUAAGUCUCCACCGCCACCUUCUCCUUCACCUCCUCCGCCAUACUACUACAAAUCACCACCACCUCCUUCGCCAUCUCCUCCUCCACCUUAUUACUACAAGUCUCCACCUCCUCCAUCUCCAUCACCACCACCACCAUAUUAUUACAAGUCUCCACCUCCACCAUCCCCAUCACCACCCCCUCCUUACUACUAUAAGUCUCCACCACCACCGCUUAAGUCACCUCCUCCCCCAUACUAUUACAGCUCUCCACCACCACCAGUGAAGUCUCCCCCUCCACCAUAUUACUACUCCUCACCACCACCACCAAAGAGAUCACCUCCCACACCAUAUCAUUAUACUUCACCACCUCCUCCAUACUAUUAUAGCUCACCACCACUACCCAAGGAAUCUCCUCCUCCACCAUAUCACUACAGUUCCCCACCACCACCAAAGAAGUUACCUCCAACUCCAUACUACUACAAGUCUCCACCACCACCACCAAAGAAGUCUUCUCCCCCACCAUACUACUAUACUUCACCACCACCACCAACUCAUUACUAUCCUCCACAUCAUCAAUUUGUUGUCAAAGUUGUCGGCAAAGUCCAUUGUUUUAGAUGUUACAACAGGAAGCACCCAGAAAUGUCUCACGGCAAAAAGCACCUUAAAGGUACCAUAGUCUUGAAUAAUUACACUAAUCUCCAAUUUGUUAUGUUCUUUUAAUUUUAUCAUCAAAAUUUUAUUAGCUAUAUAUUUACUUUUUGUUGCUUUCUUCAUUGCGCUCUUAACGAAAUUCAUAAAUGUGUCCAUUUUUAUUUGGAUAGUUGAUUCAUUUCUAUUUUCAAAUGUGAAAGUAUUGAAAUUCUAAAGCAUCAAGAAAUUUUACACAGAAACGACUUUAACUAUAAUUGUUACUAUAGAGUAAAAUAUAUUGCGAAAUGGAAGUAGUUCUUGCUUGAAAAUGAAGAACUAAUUUUAAGUGUGAUUUAUUCUCACAUUGGCUGACAAAAGUCCGUAUUAACAUGCAAUUAAUUUCCAUUACCAGAAUGUAAAAUAGUUAGUAAAGUUACAAUAAAGAAAUUUUUAUCAUGUCAUGAAAAUGUAUGUUUUACUUUUGUUUUAGGGGGGGGUAAGGCUUGGAUCGAAACCAUUUAUUAACAACUCAACUCCUUCAGUGUUAAUUAAUGGAUUUUAUUUACAUGGACUAGGUGUUGUUGUUGAAGUGACUUGCAAGGCUGGUGACAAGAAAAUUGUGAGUUAUGGUACCACUAAGCUCAAUGGAAAAUUUAGCAUCACAGUUGAAGGAUUUGAAUAUCGCAAAUAUGGAGCAAAGGCUUGCAAGGCUAAACUCCACAAUGCACCAAAGGACUCAAAGUGUAGCAUUCCUACAAACCUUCAUUGGGGAAUUAAGGGUGCUGACCUCAAAGUGAAAUCAAAGAAUAGUUAUGAAGUUGUACUUUAUGCAAAACCAUUUGCUUAUGGAUCUAAGACACCUUAUGCAGACUGCCAAAAGCCCAAGCCUACACCUGCUCCAUACUAUUAUAAAUCUCCUCCACCUCCAUCACCGACUUAUGUGUACAAGUCACCACCUCCUCCAUCACAAAAGUAUGUGUACAAGUCACCACCUCCCCCAACCCCGACAUACAUUUAUAAGUCUCCACCACCACCUGCUUACUAUUACAAAUCACCACCACCACCAACUAAGUCUCCACCACCUCAGUAUUAUUACAAGUCUCCACCUCCACCAUCACCAAAACUUGCACCAGUAUACUAUUAUAAAUCACCACCACCCCCAUCACCGUCACCACCCCCGCCUUACUACUACAAGUCUCCGCCACCACCAUCACCAUCACCAAAACCUGCACCACCAGUAUACUAUUAUAAAUCACCACCACCCCCAUCACCAUCACCACCCCCACCUUACUACUAUAAGUCCCCGCCACCACCAUCACCAAAACUUGCACCUAUUUACUAUUAUAAAUCACCACCACCCCCAUCACCGUCACCACCCCCACCUUACUAUUACAAGUCCCCACCACCACCAUCACCUUCUCCCCCACCUCCCUACUACUAUAAGUCUCCUCCACCACCAUCGCCAUCUCCUCCUCCACCAUACUAUUAUAAGUCCCCUCCUCCACCAUCUCCAUCACCACCACCACCCUAUUACUAUAAAUCUCCUCCACCACCAUCACCAUCUCCUCCACCUCCAUACUACUACAGGUCCCCUCCUCCUCUAUCUCCAUCUCCCCCUCCACCAUACUAUUACAAGUCACCACCAUCGCCAUCGCCAUCACCUCCACCACCCUACUACUACAAGUCUCCUCCUCCUCCAUCGCCUUCUCCCCCUCCACCAUACUAUUACAAAUCACCACCACCUUCAUCGCCAUCUCCUCCACCACCCUACUACUAUAAGUCCCCUCCUCCACCAUCCCCAUCACCACCUCCACCCUACUACUACAAGUCGCCUCCUCCACCGUCGCCUUCUCCACCACCUCCCUACUACUACCACUCUCCACCUCCACCAGUGAAAUCACCUCCUCCACCCGUAUAUAUUUACGCUUCCCCACCACCUCCAGUCCACUACUAAGAGUUUCCAGCAGUUCAACCAUUCUCCACACUCAAUCAAGUGAGUAGUUGUUUAAUUGUAAUUUUUUUCGUAUGAGAUCAAAUUUCUGUCAUUACUGCUCUAAUCUUCUAUUUGAUUGUUUCUUUUCAGAUUUUAUUUGAAAACACAAAAUAAAUGAUGGCUUCAUGAGGAAAAGAUCCAAACGUCAAUGGAACAAAGCAAUUACUUUACAGAAUAAGAUAUUCAAUUUUUCAAUUGGAUUGAUUCUUCAUUACAUGGAUCAGUUUGUUUCUACUUCUCUUUUGGCCUUCUUGCACAUUGUUCUCUUAGUGCGUUCAUAUGAAUGUAUUUAAGCUUUGAUGGUUCUUAGAGUUGGCUUCUUCGUAAUUUAUUGUUGUAUUGAGGAUAUUGUCCUCAUUUUAUUCAUUCCUACUAAUUAUUGUGUGUUGUUCUUGUAAUACCUUCGUGUACACUGUGCACAUGAUCAGUAAGAAGAUCAAUUUCAACGAAACAAAUUAGAUUGUUGAUAUUUGUCUAAAUACUGUUAUAAUAAUGAUACAUGUAGUAUUUUGUUGCCUUUUAAAUCCCCGCCUUACUUUGUCUAUGACUGCUAUGUCAACGAUCCUUUGAAAUAAGAGCCAAAGUUUUUAUCAGUUAGUUUUUAAUUCUCCGGCCUCCUAUGUGUAUGAUUGUUCUUUCCAAAACAUUAUAGCUAUGAAUUUUACCAUUGCUAUGAACAGAUGAAAAAUGAAAUACCAUUACUUCAUUUCUACAGGAAAAAGGGAAAGUUUUCAAGAAGAGUUGGCUCAUAUAGCUGCACACUCAACCACAUAAACUUAAAAUAGCCGGCAGGUGUAUAAUAUACGUAAUAUUCAUGUAAAAUUAGAGUAUAAUCUAUGCAUCUGCGGAAAAAAGUAGGAAGCGAAUCUGAUCAGCUAUUUGUGCAAAGAUCCCAAUUUUCUAAGCAAAAAGAUUAUUUGACAUUAUUAUGAUACCACUAUAGAAGUAAAUGCUAUGGAGGCAGACGGUGCACUAAGCCCCCCCACUAUCUGCGGGGUAUGGGGAAGAACCGGACACAAAGGUCUAUUGCAUGCAGUCUUAACUUUCAUUUUUGCAAGGGGCUGUUUACACAGUCAAACCUGUGAGCUGCUGGUCAUAUGGAAGCAACUUAACCGGCUAUGCCAAGACUCGCACCAAUGUAAAAGUAAAUGAUACAGAAAAACAGGUCAGCCCAGUGCACUAUGCUCUCAUUUUGUGUGGGGUUCGAGCAAGGACAGUACCACAAGGGUAUAUUAUCAUAGGUGGAGCCAGGAUUUCAACUAAGGAGGUUCAAUAUUUGAAGAAAACCUAAUCGAAGGAGAUUCAAUAGUAUAUACAUACAUAAAAAUAAUUUUAAUCAUGUAUAAAUAGAAUAUUUUUCCAUCGAUAUAUUAUUAUCUAGCCUUAUCCUACAUUUCUGCAAGAGACUAUUUCCACAGACCAAACCCUUGACCUCCUAGUCACAUUGCAACAACUUUACUAAUCACGCCAAGGCUCCCCUUCAAGUAAAUGCUUCAGUAAAAGGACAGCCCAGUGCACUAAGUUCCCGCUACAUGCAACAUAAUAGGGUCAGGGAAAGAACCGGGGCACAAGGGUCUACUGCAUGCAACCUUAUCCUCCAUUUCUACAAGACUAUUUUCACAGCUCGAACCCAUAACCUCCCGAUCACACUGGUAAUAACUUUACCAGUUACCUCAAAACUCUCAUUCAAGCAAAUGCUACAGUCUUUCCAUAAAAAGAACAUAGAAAGACAGCUAAAUUAACAAUUUUUAAUAGAGAACUUAGCACCUUUUACCUCUUAUUAUAUCUACAGCUGGGGUGUGUAACUGGUGCAAUCUUUGCUCCUCUUGUUUGCCUUCAUCUCUAAGACUUCCAGUUUCAUUUUAAAAAUCAAUUCUUUUUAUAAUCGUGAUGUCCGGGACAGCUACCUUUAUUACAUAUUAUUGUUCUUACGUACCAACAGCUUGCGCGCACCUCGAAUAUUUGCCAAAAAUAGGUAUUCUUUUCAACUCUUCUUUCUGAAAAUUGGCAUGAUUUGCGAAAUUGAAAUUUGCAGGUUCAGUUGAUUAAUUUGAAAACAUGAGCUUUAAAUUUCCAUUUGAAUAAAUAGGAAACUAAUUGAACAGGAAAGCGGGAAGAAGGGAGACGGUUAAAUUGGGGAAAAAUUAAAAAACAUGAUUAAGUAUGCUGAAAAAUUAAAAACAAAAAAGAAUGGCAACAUUAUAAAAAGAGAAAAUAGUGCGAUAAUUGAACCGUAAGGAAUAGUAAAUAACAACACAAAUACAAAAUAAAGGAUAAGUGCACUAUGAUUAAU